AUUUUCAUUUAAAAAUUCUUGUUUGUCUUGACAGCAAUUGUGAGGUUAUAAUUAAUUUACUAAGAAUUUUAUGUUUCAAAUACACAUAUACCUAUAGGUGUAAUAUCAUAAUAUUUUAUGAUUAAACUGAACAAAUUAUUUAAUGGUGAUAUAUUGGGGAUUUGUUUGUAUAGUCUGAAAUGUGACCUUUAGAAGAAAAGGUCACUAGACCUUACAGUGGAAAGUUUGGGGUUUUUUGUUUGUUUUUGAGAUGGUUGGUCUUGAACUCUUGGCCUCAAGCAACCUCCCACCUCGGCCUCCCAAAGUGAGCCACUGCGCCUGGCCCUCUUGAUCCUUUAGAUAGCCUGGCACUUUUUGUUACCUCUCUUCUUACGUUGGACUAUUUUAGGAUUACUUCAUCCUUUCUUCAAGACAGCUUUCUGGCCUGACACACUGGCUAUACCUAUAAUCCUAGCACUUUGAGAGUUCGAGACAGAAGGAUUGCUUUGAGCCCAGUAGUCCAAGACUAGCUGGGGCAACAUAGUGAGACCCUGUGUCUAC
RNAcentral lists this long non-coding RNA (540 nucleotides) under Homo sapiens (human). RNAcentral's name for it is "HSALNT0127081". The record is from RNAcentral. Lineage: Eukaryota; Metazoa; Chordata; Mammalia; Primates; Hominidae.